RNAcentral lists this ribosomal RNA (533 nucleotides) under uncultured bacterium. RNAcentral's name for it is "bacterial SSU rRNA". It matches the Rfam family "Bacterial small subunit ribosomal RNA", at positions 8 to 526 of the family's 1533-position model. The record is from RNAcentral.
AGAGUUUGAUCAUGGCUCAGAACGAACGCUGGCGGCAGGCUUAACACAUGCAAGUCGAGCGAGAACCAGGCCUUCGGGCCUGGGGACAGCGGCGAACGGGUGAGUAACACGUGGGUAAUCUGCCCUCGGCACUGGGAUAGCCCGGGGAAACCCGGAUUAAUACCGGAUGGCCUCUCGAGCUUUCGGGCUCGUGAGAAAAGGUAGCUUCGGCCUCCGGCCGAGGAGGAGCCCGCGGCGGAUUAGCUUGUUGGUGGGGUAAUGGCUCACCAAGGCGACGAUCCGUAGCUGGUCUGAGAGGACGAUCAGCCACACUGGGACUGAGACACGGCCCAGACUCCUACGGGAGGCAGCAGUGGGGAAUUGUUCGCAAUGGGCGCAAGCCUGACGACGCAACGCCGCGUGGAGGACGAAGACCUUCGGGUCGUAAACUCCUUUCGAUCGAGACGAACGGCCUCUGGGUGAACAACUCGGAGGAGUGACGGUACCGAGAGAAGAAGCCCCGGCUAACUCCGUGCCAGCAGCGGCGGUAAUAC